UGAAGGAGUAGCAAUACUUUUUCAGGUUUAGUGGCGGACGGGUGAGUAACACGUAGGUAACCUACCCUUAGGCGGGGGACAACUCAGGGAAACUUGAGCUAAUACCGCAUAAAUCCACGGGCUGGGAUGCUUGUGGGGAAAGUGGCAACACACCUAAGGAUGGGCCUGCGGCCUAUCAGGUAGUUGGUGGGGUAAGAGCCCACCAAGCCGAAGACGGGUAGCCGGGCUGAGAGGUUGAACGGCCACACUGGAACUGAGACACGGUCCAGACUCCUACGGGAGGCAGCAGUGGGGAAUCUUGCGCAAUGGGGGAAACCCUGACGCAGCGACGCCGCGUGGAGGAUGAAGGUCUUCGGGUUGUAAACUCCUUUUCUUGGGGAAAAUGAUGAUGGUACUCAAGGAAUAAGCCACGGCUAACUCUGUGCCAGCAGCCGCGGUAAGACAGAGGUGGCGAGCGUUGUUCGGAAUUACUGGGCUUAAAGGGCGAGUAGGCGGUAGGGCAAGUCUGGGGUGGAAUCCUAUGGCUUAACCAUAGAACUGCCUUAGAAACUGCUUUACUUGAGUCAGUGAGGGGAGGGCGGAAUUCCU
This 588-nucleotide ribosomal RNA is filed under the name uncultured bacterium. RNAcentral describes it as "bacterial SSU rRNA". It matches the Rfam family "Bacterial small subunit ribosomal RNA", at positions 69 to 671 of the family's 1533-position model. The record is from RNAcentral.